This 468-nucleotide ribosomal RNA is filed under the name uncultured bacterium. RNAcentral's name for it is "partial 16S ribosomal RNA". It matches the Rfam family "Bacterial small subunit ribosomal RNA", at positions 28 to 507 of the family's 1533-position model. The record is from RNAcentral.
GACGAACGCUGGCGGCGUGCUUAACACAUGCAAGUCGAACGGAAAGGCCCUGCUUUUGUGGGGUGCUCGAGUGGCGAACGGGUGAGUAACACGUGAGUAACCUGCCCUUGACUUUGGGAUAACUUCAGGAAACUGGGGCUAAUACCGGAUAGGAGCUCCUGCUGCACGGUGGGGGUUGGAAAGUUUCGGCGGUUGGGGAUGGACUCGCGGCUUAUCAGCUUGUUGGUGGGGUAGUGGCUUACCAAGGCUUUGACGGGUAGCCGGCCUGGGAGGGUGACCGGCCACAUUGGUACUGAGAUACGCCCCAGACUCCUACGGGAGGCAGCAGGGGGGAAUAUUGCACAAUGGGCGGAAGCCUGAGGCAGCAACGCCGCGUGCGGGAUGACGGCCUUCGGGUUGGAAACCGCGUUCGCCUGUGACGAAGCGUGAGUGACGGUAAUGGGUAAAGAAGCACCGGCUAACUACGUG